AACUCUUAGCGGUGGGUCACUUGGCUCGUGCAUUGAUGAAGAAUGCAGCUAGGUGCAAGAACUAAUGUGAAUUUCAGGACACAUUGAUCAUCAACACUUCGAAUGCACCUUGCGACCCCAGAUUCUGACGCCUGCCUGAGGGUCG
RNAcentral lists this ribosomal RNA (145 nucleotides) under Acanthochromis polyacanthus (spiny chromis). RNAcentral's name for it is "5.8S ribosomal RNA (ENSAPOG00000006274.1)". It matches the Rfam family "5.8S ribosomal RNA". Rfam says of the family: 5.8S ribosomal RNA (5.8S rRNA) is a component of the large subunit of the eukaryotic ribosome. It is transcribed by RNA polymerase I as part of the 45S precursor that also contains 18S and 28S rRNA. The record is from Rfam by way of RNAcentral. Lineage: Eukaryota; Metazoa; Chordata; Actinopteri; Pomacentridae.